RNAcentral lists this ribosomal RNA (425 nucleotides) under uncultured bacterium. RNAcentral's name for it is "bacterial SSU rRNA". It matches the Rfam family "Bacterial small subunit ribosomal RNA", at positions 355 to 796 of the family's 1533-position model. The record is from RNAcentral.
UGGGGAAUAUUGCGCAAUGGGCGGAAGCCUGACGCAGCGACGCCGCGUGGGGGAUGACGGCCUUCGGGUUGUAAACCUCUUUCGACAGGGACGAAGUUGACGUGUACCUGUAGAAGAAGCGCCGGCUAACUACGUGCCAGCAGCCGCGGUAAUACGUAGGGCGCAAGCGUUGUCCGGAAUUAUUGGGCGUAAAGAGCUCGUAGGCGGCCUGUUGCGUCCGCUGUGAAAUCCCAGGGCUUAACCCUGGGCCUGCAGUGGAUACGGGCAGGCUAGAGGCAGGCAGGGGAGAACGGAAUUCCCGGUGUAGCGGUGAAAUGCGCAGAUAUCGGGAGGAACACCGGUGGCGAAGGCGGUUCUCUGGGCCUGUUCUGACGCUGAGGAGCGAAAGCGUGGGUAGCAAACAGGAUUAGAUACCCCGGUAGUCC